UACGAGUAGCCCGAGUGUUGUCCACGAAUAUUGAGUCUAAAGCGAGUGUAGCCGGAUGCGCACGUCCUCCGUGAAAUCUCCCCGCCUAACGGGGAGGCUUGCGGGGGAUACGACGCGUCUUGGGAAUGGGGGAGACCCGGGGUACGAUAGGGGGAGGAGUAAAAUCCUGUAAUCCUUAUCGGACCACCAGUGGCGAAGGCGCCGGGCCAAAACAUGUCCGACGGUGAGACUCGAAGGCUAGGGGAGCAAAUGG
RNAcentral lists this ribosomal RNA (253 nucleotides) under uncultured archaeon. RNAcentral's name for it is "partial 16S ribosomal RNA". It matches the Rfam family "Archaeal small subunit ribosomal RNA", at positions 474 to 726 of the family's 1478-position model. The record is from RNAcentral.